AGUUUGAUCCUGGCUCAGGAUGAACGCUAGCGGCAGGCUUAACACAUGCAAGUCGAGGGGUAUAGUUUUUCGGAACUAGAGACCGGCGCACGGGUGCGUAACGCGUAUGCAAUCUACCUUUCACAAAGGGAUAGCCCAGAGAAAUUUGGAUUAAUACCUCAUAGCAUAGCAGCUUCGCAUGAAGCCACUAUUAAAGUCACAACGGUAAAAGAUGAGCAUGCGUCCCAUUAGCUAGUUGGUAAGGUAACGGCUUACCAAGGCAACGAUGGGUAGGGGUCCUGAGAGGGAGAUCCCCCACACUGGUACUGAGACACGGACCAGACUCCUACGGGAGGCAGCAGUGAGGAAUAUUGGACAAUGGGCGCAAGCCUGAUCCAGCCAUGCCGCGUGCAGGGUGACGGUCCUAUGGAUUGUAAACUGCUUUUGCACAGGAAGAAACAACAUUACGUGUAAUGUCUUGACGGUACUGUGAGAAUAAGGAUCGGCUAACUCCGUGCCAGCAGCCGCGGUAAUACGGAGGAUCCAAGCGUUAUCCGGAAUCAUUGGGUUUAAAGGGUCCGUAGGCGGUUUAGUAAGUCAGUGGUGAAAGCCCAUCGCUCAACGGUGGAACGGCCAUUGAUACUGCUAGACUUGAAUUAUUAGGAAGUAACUAGAAUAUGUAGUGUAGCGGUGAAAUGCUUAGAGAUUACAUGGAAUACCAAUUGCGAAGGCAGGUUACUACUAAUGGAUUGACGCUGAUGGACGAAAGCGUGGGUAGCGAACAGGAUUAGAUACCCUGGUAGA
Molecule: ribosomal RNA, 783 nt
Filed under: uncultured Flavobacterium sp.
Lineage: Bacteria; Pseudomonadati; Bacteroidota; Flavobacteriia; Flavobacteriales; Flavobacteriaceae
Description: bacterial SSU rRNA
Rfam family: Bacterial small subunit ribosomal RNA
Source: RNAcentral